CCCCUCUCAGGAUGUCACCUGAAGAGUUUCCAGUACUCUACCAGUCUUGAUUAAGGGAGGGAGAGUCAAGCAGAGGCAUACCUGGUCCAUUCCUAGCUUGGGAAGUGGCUAGGGAAUGGAAGACAAUCUGUUACAAGU
Tachyglossus aculeatus (Australian echidna) is the source of this 138-nucleotide small nucleolar RNA. Lineage: Eukaryota; Metazoa; Chordata; Mammalia; Monotremata; Tachyglossidae. The record is from RefSeq and is a predicted model, not a curated record.